GCUGGGCGUGGAGGUGCACACCUGUAAUCCCAGCAGCUUAGGAAGCUGAGGCAGGAGGAUUGCAAGUUCAAAGCCAGCCUUGGCAAUGACAAGGCACUAAGCAACUCAGUGAGACCCUGUCUCUA
RNAcentral lists this small RNA (125 nucleotides) under Marmota monax (woodchuck). The record is from RNAcentral. Lineage: Eukaryota; Metazoa; Chordata; Mammalia; Rodentia; Sciuridae.